GACGAACGCUGGCGGCGUGCUUAACACAUGCAAGUCGAACGGAAAGGCCCUGCUUUUGUGGGGUGCUCGAGUGGCGAACGGGUGAGUAACACGUGAGUAACCUGCCCUUGACUUUGGGAUAACUUCAGGAAACUGGGGCUAAUACCGGAUAGGAGCUCCUGCUGCAUGGUGGGGGUUGGAAAGUUUCGGCGGUUGGGGAUGGACUCGCGGCUUAUCAGCUUGUUGGUGGGGUAGUGGCUUACCAAGGCUUUGACGGGUAGCCGGCCUGAGAGGGUGACCGGCCACAUUGGGACUGAGACACGGCCCCGACUCCUACGGGAGGCAGCAGUGGGGAAUAUUGCACAAUGGGCGGAAGCCUGAUGCAGCAACGCCGCGGGCGGGAUGACGGCCUUCGGGUUGUAAACCGCUUUCGCCUGUGACGAAGCGUGAGUGACGGUAAUGGGUAAAGAAGCACCGGCUAACUACGUG
Molecule: ribosomal RNA, 468 nt
Filed under: uncultured bacterium
Lineage: Bacteria
Description: partial 16S ribosomal RNA
Rfam family: Bacterial small subunit ribosomal RNA
Source: RNAcentral